This 596-nucleotide ribosomal RNA is filed under the name uncultured bacterium. RNAcentral describes it as "bacterial SSU rRNA". It matches the Rfam family "Bacterial small subunit ribosomal RNA", at positions 338 to 945 of the family's 1533-position model. The record is from RNAcentral.
CCUACGGGAGGCAGCAGUGGGGAAUUUUCCGCAAUGGGCGAAAGCCUGACGGAGCAAUACCGCGUGAGGGAAGACUGCCUAUGGGUUGUAAACCUCUUUUUUCAGGGAGGAAUAAAAUGACGUGUACCUGAAGAAUAAGCAUCGGCUAACUCCGUGCCAGCAGCCGCGGUAAGACGGAGGAUGCAAGUGUUAUCCGGAAUCACUGGGCGUAAAGCGUCUGUAGGUGGUUUAAUAAGUCAACUGUUAAAUCUUGAGGCUCAACUUCAAAACCGCAGUCGAAACUAUUAGACUAGAGUAUAGUAGAGGUAAAGGGAAUUUCCAGUGGAGCGGUGAAAUGCGUAGAUAUUAGAAAGAACACCGAUGGCGAAAGCACUUUACUGGGCUAUUACUAACACUCAGAGACGAAAGCUAGGGUAGCAAAUGGGAUUAGAUACCCCAGUAGUCCUAGCCGUAAACUAUGGAUACUAGAUGUUGAACAGAUCGACCUGUGCAGUAUCAAAGCUAACGCGUUAAGUAUCCCGCCUGGGAAGUAUGCUCGCAAGAGUUGAAACCUNAAUNAUAGAGNGNGAGAGNGCGACGACGACGACGAGGAGAGG